GUUAAUGUUUAACUUUAUUUACUCAUGUUUUUUAAUUACUUACCUUUUGAUUAAUUGAACGUAACUUUCAGUUUUAUUAACCUUUAAUUGCCAAUCAUUCUUAUUAGAAGCUGUCAGUUUGUAAUUAAACUGCUUUUGUAGCUACCAUUUACUCGACUAUUUUUGCCUUUAUUUUUGUUCAAUUUUUGUUUGCUUUUUAUCUCAUUUUACUGUCUUCUAUUCACUUUUAAUUUGAAUAAGUGUGUAUAUUUUACCUGUUUUUUAAUCAAUCUUUCGUUUGAUUUGCCGUCUCUCUCUCUCUCUCACCUCUAAUUGGUUUCCAAUAAAUGGUUGAACAAGAUUAAUUAAACAUUGCUUUGGGAUAAAAGAAAUACUGUUUAACCUCACCUUAAUCGGAAUCCAGGAAAAUUGCGCUUACCAACAGUAUCACCAACAAAACGAGCUAACAAGUUGUUCUUCUUACAAUUGAUGUAAAUAAAUCCAAGCAAAGAGACAAAAAGGAGAAAAGUGGAACCCAAAAUUGCUGACAGUAAAACCAGAUUAAAUUGAACACAGUUAACCAUUAAUUUUUUUGUUUCCAUUCUUUGGCAAUAUUCAACGAAAUGAAUAAUAUCAACAAGAUACCAAUGAUAGGAAUGGAGUUAUGAGGAUAUAAAGAUGCAAGCCUAGGAAGAGAAAA
Non-coding RNA from Tetranychus urticae (two-spotted spider mite), 679 nucleotides. Lineage: Eukaryota; Metazoa; Arthropoda; Arachnida; Trombidiformes; Tetranychidae. The record is from RefSeq and is a predicted model, not a curated record.